This 177-nucleotide ribosomal RNA is filed under the name Crassisporus byrsinus. RNAcentral's name for it is "Coriolopsis byrsina partial 28S ribosomal RNA". It matches the Rfam family "Eukaryotic large subunit ribosomal RNA", at positions 1 to 168 of the family's 3401-position model. The record is from RNAcentral. Lineage: Eukaryota; Fungi; Basidiomycota; Agaricomycetes; Polyporales; Polyporaceae.
AUGACCAUCUGACCUCAAAUCAGGUAGGACUACCCGCUGAACUUAAGCAUAUCAAUAAGCGGAGGAAAAGAAACUAACAAGGAUUCCCCUAGUAACUGCGAGUGAAGCGGGAUAAGCUCAAAUUUAAAAUCUGGCGGUUAUGCCGUCCGAGUUGUAGUCUGGAGAAGUGCUUUCUGC